This 510-nucleotide ribosomal RNA is filed under the name uncultured bacterium. RNAcentral's name for it is "bacterial SSU rRNA". It matches the Rfam family "Bacterial small subunit ribosomal RNA", at positions 777 to 1286 of the family's 1533-position model. The record is from RNAcentral.
AAUAGAUACCCAGGUAGUCCUGGCCCUAAACGAUGAAUGCUUGGUGUGGCGGGUAUCGAUCCCUGCCGUGCCGCAGUUAACGCGCUAAGCAUUCCGCCUGGGGAGUACGGUCGCAAGGCUGAAACUCGAAAGGAAGUUGACGGGGGCCCGCACAAGCGGUGGAGCAUGUGGUUCAAUUCGACGCAACGCGAAGAACCUUACCUGGGCUCGAAGUGCAGAUGACCAUCGGCGAAAGUCGACUUCCGCAAGGACAUCUGUAGAGGUGCUGCAUGGCUGUCGUCAGCUCGUGUCGUGAGAUGUUGGGUUAAGUCCCGCAACGAGCGCAACCCUUGUCCUCUGUUGCCAUCAGGUUAAGCUGGGCACUCUGAGGAGACUGCCGGUGACAAACCGGAGGAAGGUGGGAUGACGUCAAGUCAGCAUGGCCUUUAUGUCCAGGGCUACACACGUGCUACAAUGGCCGGUACAAAGCGUCGCAAACUCGCGAGGGUGAGCUAAUCGCAGAAAGCCGGU